AAGAAUCAAAUAAAAAAUAAACAGAAUGUAAAAAAUUAAAAUAUUUAAAUUGAUUUUUAAAUUUUAAAUAGAAUUAUUUUAAUUUUAAAAGUUAUAAUUAAAUUAUUUAAAAAUAAAAGAGUAAACAUUUAGAUUUAUUCAUCCAAUAAACCUAAAAAAAUUACUAGUGACUGACUAAAGUAUUAUUGUAAUAACCUAAAGAUUGUCUUGAUUGUUUUUCAUUGAACACUAUAUUAAUAAAUGUACCAUAGAGAUUUCGACUUGAAGAUUUGAAUAUAUAUGUAAAAAAUUUUGAAAAACUACUACUAACAAACUGGGCAUGAAUUCCAACUCCUAAAUUCCAAUCUUGAACAAAAAUAGUGGCACCUCAUCAAGCAGAAUAGUGCCUGAGCUCACUCGUUACCGAGUUGACUCAGUCCAAUACCGAGUCAACUCUUCCGAAUCAUUGCCGACAAAAAUAAAUAUAUAAAAUAGAACCAGUCUCCUUGUGUGUGGGUUGUAGAACGGUUAUCCGUCGAACCCUGUUUGGCUCCACACUGCA
RNAcentral lists this unclassified non-coding RNA (541 nucleotides) under Hevea brasiliensis (rubber tree). Lineage: Eukaryota; Viridiplantae; Streptophyta; Magnoliopsida; Malpighiales; Euphorbiaceae. The record is from RNAcentral.